AGAACGAACGCUGGCGGCAUGCCUAACACAUGCAAGUCGAACGAGACCUUCGGGUCUAGUGGCGCACGGGUGCGUAACGCGUGGGAAUCUGCCCUUGGGUUCGGAAUAACAGUUGGAAACGACUGCUAAUACCGGAUGAUGACGUAAGUCCAAAGAUUUAUCGCCCAGGGAUGAGCCCGCGUAGGAUUAGCUAGUUGGUGAGGUAAAGGCUCACCAAGGCGACGAUCCUUAGCUGGUCUGAGAGGAUGAUCAGCCACACUGGGACUGAGACACGGCCCAGACUCCUACGGGAGCAGCAGUGGGAAUAUGGACAAUGGCGAAAGCCUGAUCCAGCAAUGCCGCGUGAGUGAUGGAGGCCUUAGGGUUGUAAAGUCUCGUUUUAACCCGGGAAGAUAAUGACUGUAACCGGAGAAUAAGCUCGGCUAACGUCCCGCGCCAGCGAGACCGC
RNAcentral lists this ribosomal RNA (448 nucleotides) under uncultured soil bacterium. RNAcentral describes it as "bacterial SSU rRNA". It matches the Rfam family "Bacterial small subunit ribosomal RNA", at positions 26 to 518 of the family's 1533-position model. The record is from RNAcentral.